Molecule: ribosomal RNA, 262 nt
Filed under: uncultured bacterium
Lineage: Bacteria
Description: partial 16S ribosomal RNA
Rfam family: Bacterial small subunit ribosomal RNA
Source: RNAcentral
CCAGCAGCCGCGGUAAUACGAAGGGUGCAAGCGUUACUCGGAAUUACUGGGCGUAAAGCGCACGUAGGCGGAUUUGCCAGUCAGGGGUGAAAUCCCGGGGCUCAACCUCGGAACUGCCCUUGAUACAGCAAAUCUCGAGUCCGGAAGAGGUGAGUGGAAUUCCUAGUGUAGAGGUGAAAUUCGUAGAUAUUAGGAAGAACACCAGUGGCGAAGGCGGCUCACUGGUCCGGCACUGACGCUGAGGUGCGAAAGCGUGGGGAGC